RNAcentral lists this ribosomal RNA (216 nucleotides) under Glomeromycotina sp. RNAcentral's name for it is "partial small subunit ribosomal RNA". The stretch from base 54 to 216 matches the Rfam family "Eukaryotic small subunit ribosomal RNA", at positions 700 to 864 of the family's 1831-position model. Lineage: Eukaryota; Fungi; Glomeromycota. The record is from RNAcentral.
GGGUCAGUAGGUUGGUCGUGCCACCGGUACGUACUGGUCUCACUGACUCCUCCUUCCUGAAGAACCGUAAUGCCAUUAAUUUGGUGUUGCGGGGAAACAGGACUGUUACUUUGAAAAAAUUAGAGUGUUUAAAGCAAGCUAACGCUUGAAUACAUUAGCAUGGAAUAAUGAAAUAGGACGAUCGAUCCUAUUUUGUUGGUUUUUAGGAUUGACGUA